Molecule: ribosomal RNA, 162 nt
Filed under: uncultured freshwater bacterium
Lineage: Bacteria
Description: partial 16S ribosomal RNA
Rfam family: Bacterial small subunit ribosomal RNA
Source: RNAcentral
CCUACGGGAGGCAGCAGUAGGGAAUCUUCGGCAAUGGACGAAAGUCUGACCGAGCAACGCCGCGUGAGUGAAGAAGGUUUUCGGAUCGUAAAACUCUGUUGUUAGAGAAGAACGUUGUGUAGAGUGGAAAAUUACACAAGUGACGGUUCUACCAGAAACACU